This 65-nucleotide transfer RNA is filed under the name Hydropsyche fryeri. Its description in RNAcentral is "tRNA-Ala". The record is from RNAcentral. Lineage: Eukaryota; Metazoa; Arthropoda; Insecta; Trichoptera; Hydropsychidae.
AGGAUUAUAAUUUAUAUAAAAUAAUUAAAUUGCAAUUAAUAAAAAUUGAAUAUCAAUUAAUCUUA